GUGUUCGCUCUGGCAGCACAUAUACUAAAAUUGAAAUGAUGCUGAGAAGAUUAGCAUGACCCCUGUUCAAGGAUGACAUGCGAAUCUGUGGAGUGUUCCAUAUUUUU
Perognathus longimembris pacificus (Pacific pocket mouse) is the source of this 107-nucleotide small nuclear RNA. The record is from RefSeq and is a predicted model, not a curated record. NCBI's taxonomy places the organism in Eukaryota, Metazoa, Chordata, Mammalia, Rodentia, Heteromyidae.